AUUGAACGCUGGCGGCAUGCUUUACACAUGCAAGUCGAGCGGCAGCGCGGGGGCAACCCUGGCGGCGAGCGGCGAACGGGUGAGUAAUGCAUCGGAACGUGUCCCGUAGUGGGGGAUAACCCGGCGAAAGCCGGGCUAAUACCGCAUAUGCUCUACGGAGGAAAGGGGGGAGUCCGCAAGGACCUCUCGCUAUGGGAGCGGCCGAUGUCCGAUUAGCUUGUUGGUGGGGUAAUGGCUUACCAAGGCGACGAUCGGUAGCUGGUCUGAGAGGAUGAUCAGCCACACUGGGACUGAGACACGGCCCAGACACCUACGGGUGGCAG
Molecule: ribosomal RNA, 323 nt
Filed under: uncultured Pseudomonadota bacterium
Lineage: Bacteria; Pseudomonadati; Pseudomonadota
Description: bacterial SSU rRNA
Rfam family: Bacterial small subunit ribosomal RNA
Source: RNAcentral